RNAcentral lists this ribosomal RNA (253 nucleotides) under uncultured bacterium. Its description in RNAcentral is "partial 16S ribosomal RNA". It matches the Rfam family "Bacterial small subunit ribosomal RNA", at positions 524 to 776 of the family's 1533-position model. The record is from RNAcentral.
UACGGGGGGGGCAAGCGUUGUUCGGAAUUACUGGGCGUAAAGGGCGCGUAGGCGGCCUGCUAAGUCGGAUGUGAAAUCCCUCGGCUCAACCGAGGAACUGCAUCCGAUACUGGCGGGCUUGAAUCCGGGAGAGGGAUGUGGAAUUCCAGGUGUAGCGGUGAAAUGCGUAGAUAUCUGGAGGAACACCGGUGGCGAAGGCGGCAUCCUGGACCGGUAUUGACGCUCAGGAGCGAAAGCGUGGGGAGCGAUCCGG